AGAAAAGAUGCGGAUUUGUGGGGGGAGCAAAAAAGUGGGAUAUUGGGGCCUGUUGGGAGAGAAAAUAGUGGGAUUUUGGGGAAGAAAAAGUGGGAUUUUGGGUAAGUGUUUGUGAGCUGAAAAAACAAUGGGAUUUUUGGGGGAAAAAGUGGGAAUUUGGGGCUGUUUUUGGGAGGAAUAAAGUGGGAUUUUGAGGGGAAAAGUGGGAUUUGGGGUAGUUUGUGAAGGAAAAUGUGGGAUUUUGAGGGGGAAAAAAGUGGGAUUUGGGGCAGAUUGUGAGGCAAAAUGUGGGAUUUGGGAGAAAAAGUGAGAUUUAGGGUAGUUUGUGUGGAAAACGUGAGAUUUUGAGGGGGAAAAGUGGGAUUUGGGGCUGUUUGGGAGGGGAAAAGGGGGGUUUUGGAAGAAAAAAAUGGGAAGUUUGUAACAGAAAAUGAAGGAAUUUUUGAAGGAAAAAAGGGUUCCAUCUGGGGUCCCAUAAGGGUCCCCUUAUGGGGAUCUUUGGGUUCCAUAGGGAUCCCAUAGGGGGUCCCAUGGGGAUCUUUGGGUUCCAUAGGGGGUCCCAUGGGGAUCUUGGGUUCUAUAGGGGUCUCAUAGGGGGUCCCAACUGGGGAUCUUUUGGGUCUAUAGGGGUCUCAUAGGGGGUCCCAUGGGGAUCUUUGGGUUCUAUAGGGGUCUCAUAGGGGGUCCCAUGGGGAUCUUUGGGUUCCAUAGGGAUCCCGUAGGGGGUCCUAUAGGGAUCUUUGGGUUCCAUAGGGAUCCCAUAGGGGUCCCAUAGGGAUCUUUGGGUUCCAUAGGGAUCCCAUAGGGGGCUCCUUGGGGGUCUUUGGGUUCCAUAGGGGUCUCAUAGGGGGUCCCAUGGGGAACUUGGGGUUCCAUAGGGAUCCCAUAGGGUCUUCUCUGGGUCUUUAUGGGGUCCCAUAGGGGGUUCCAUGGGGAUGUUUGGGUUCCAUAGGGGUCUCAUAGGGGGUUCCAUGGGGAACUUGGGGUUCCAUAGGGGACUCCCUGGGGAUGUUUGGGUCCAUAGGGAUCUCAUAGGGGGUUCCUUGGGCUUCCAUAGGGGUCCUAUAGGGGCUGUAUGGGGUUCUAUAGGGGGUUCCUUGGGGAACUUGGGGUCCCCAUAGGGUUUCCAUAGGGGUCCCAUAGUGGUGCGGGUCCCGGGGGGGCGCUGAUUCGGGGGCCCCCGCAGGGGCGGCAGCGCGGCGUCGCCCAUGUAAAAUGAUGCCAUAGGGCAAUCUGUGGGACCACCUGUGGGUCCCAUAGGGGACUCCCAAUAG
RNAcentral lists this long non-coding RNA (1274 nucleotides) under Coturnix japonica (Japanese quail). RNAcentral's name for it is "lncRNA (ENSCJPG00005003476.1)". Lineage: Eukaryota; Metazoa; Chordata; Aves; Galliformes; Phasianidae. The record is from RNAcentral.